GAGGAAACACGCUAAGGCCGUAGAUUAAGCCAUGCAAGUGUUAGUUCAGGCAACGAAACUGCGAACAGCUCAUUAAUACGCUCAGAAUCUAUUUGGCUUCUACCCUUUACGGGUAUUACAUGGAUAGCAGCGGCAAUUCUGGUGCUAAUACAUGCGACUUAUCCACCUUAAGCGAGUUAAGGUGAGGACUUGACCUUCUAGGCAUGCCAUUCGAUUGAGCGCCCUAUCAGCUUGUCCAUAGUUUCUGGCACUAUGGAUGCGAUAACGGGUGACGGGCGGUUACCGUCGGACUGCCGGAGAGGGCGCCUGAGAGACAGCGGCCAUUUCCAUGGAACAGCAGCAGGCGCGAAACUUACCCACUCGCCAACGGCGGAGGUGGUGACGGCCAGUUACAUGGUGUCGAUAAGACCCACGUAUAGGCUCUGACCUUACCAGUCAGGGGUAACCAAGGAGAGGGCUAGUUCCGGUGCCAGCAGCUGCGGUAAUUCCGGCUCUCCAAGCUUGUUUCCCUGUUACGUUUAAAACGCCCGUAGUCUAAAUCAGAAGCACGUAUAGUGCGUUCACCGUGAUUAAAUCAGGAUGCUUAGAGUAGUUCGUAACUGAAUGACUCAGCACGGUAUGAAAUCUUUACCCCAUUCGGGUCAGCUUAAUGAGAGCCAUCGGGGGUAGACGUACGUGGUGGCGAGCGGCGGAAUGCGUUGACCCACCACGGACGAACGAAUGCGAAAGCAUCUACCUAGAGGGUUUCUGUCGAUCAAGGGCGAGAGCAGGGGGAUCAAAAAGGAUUAGACACCCUUGUAGUCCCUGCCUUAAACGAUGCCGACUAGGCCUUGUUUCUUUUUGCAGGGUCUUAGGAGAAAUCAUAGUCUCUGGGCUACGGGGGAACUACGACCGCAAGGCUGAAACUUGAAGGAAUUGACGGAAGAGCACACCAGGGGUGGAGACUGUGGCUCAAUUCGACUCAACACGGAGAAACUUACGGUUCCCAGAUACUUUUAAUGACUGACAAGCCAAAGACUUUUCAGGAUGUGGUUGUUGGUGGUGCAUGGCCGUUGGUGGUGCGUGGGUUGACCUGUCUCUAGUCGAUUCAGAUAACGAGCGAGACUACCGCCCCUUACCUAGACCAAGCUACUGGGUAGCGACAGUCUUCUAAGUGGGACUCCCUGCGAUUAAGCAGGCGGAAGAGGGUAGCAAUAACAGGUCCGUGAUGUCCUUUAGAUGGGACCGGCUGCACGCGUUCUACAAUGUAGGGCUCAAAGGGUCUGCUUCCCUGAAAUGGCUUGCUACUCUCUUAAUGCCUUACGUGGUUUGGACUGAGGGCUGGAAUUGCCUUCACGCAAAGAGGAAUCCCUUGUAAGCGUGUAUCAUUAAUGCACGCUGAAUACGUCCCUGCUCUUUGUACACACCGCCCGUCGCUCCCUUCGAUUGGAUGGAUUGGCGAAAUCACUGGACUCUUCGGGGAAAGGUAAUUAAGCCUGUCGAUUUAGAGAAGGGAGAAGUCGUAACAAGGUAACG
This 1515-nucleotide ribosomal RNA is filed under the name uncultured Holomastigotoididae. Its description in RNAcentral is "SSU rRNA". It matches the Rfam family "Eukaryotic small subunit ribosomal RNA". Lineage: Eukaryota; Parabasalia. The record is from RNAcentral.